AUACGUAGGUGGCAAGCGUUGUCCGGAUUUACUGGGCGUAAAGGAUGCGUAGGCGGAUGUUUAAGUGAGAUGUGAAAUCCCUAAGCUUAACUUAGGUGCUGCAUUUCAAACUGGAUAUCUAGAGUGCAGGAGAGGAGAAUGGAAUUCCUAGUGUAGCGGUGAAAUGCGUAGAGAUUAGGAAGAACACCAGUGGCGAAGGCGAUUCUCUGGACUGUAACUGACGCUGAGGCAUGAAAGCGUGGGUAGCAAACAGGAUUAGAUACCCUGGUAGUCCACGCCGUAAACGAUGAGUACUAGGUGUAGGAGGUCUAAGCCUUCUGUGCCGCAGUUAACACAAUAAGUACUCCGCCUGGGAAGUACGAUCGCAAGAUUAAA
Molecule: ribosomal RNA, 375 nt
Filed under: uncultured bacterium
Lineage: Bacteria
Description: bacterial SSU rRNA
Rfam family: Bacterial small subunit ribosomal RNA
Source: RNAcentral